RNAcentral lists this long non-coding RNA (212 nucleotides) under Mustela putorius furo (domestic ferret). Its description in RNAcentral is "lncRNA (ENSMPUG00000030279.1)". The record is from RNAcentral. Lineage: Eukaryota; Metazoa; Chordata; Mammalia; Carnivora; Mustelidae.
UUUUCCUCCUCCUCCUUUUCCUCCUGCUCCUUCUCUCUCUCCUUCUCUCCAUCCCUUCCUCCAUCACUACCACCUUCUCUUCCCAGGAGAUCACAUAGUUAACGAGUUAUAAAGGCUAUGUAAUAACUCAACCUGUGGACUGUAAUCCUGAUGGUAACCUGUUUCCCAGACCAUGCGUGCAUGUGAGAGAAGGCUGGAAGAGAGGGUGUCAG